UACGAAGGGGGCUAGCGUUGCUCGGAAUCACUGGGCGUAAAGGGUGCGUAGGCGGGUCUUUUAAGUCAGGGGUGAAAUCCUGGAGCUCAACUCCAGAACUGCCUUUGAUACUGAAGAUCUUGAGUUCGGGAGAGGUGAGUGGAACUGCGAGUGUAGAGGUGAAAUUCGUAGAUAUUCGCAAGAACACCAGUGGCGAAGGCGGCUCACUGGCCCGAUACUGACGCUGAGGCACGAAAGCGUGGGGAGCAACAGG
RNAcentral lists this ribosomal RNA (253 nucleotides) under uncultured bacterium. RNAcentral describes it as "partial 16S ribosomal RNA". It matches the Rfam family "Bacterial small subunit ribosomal RNA", at positions 524 to 775 of the family's 1533-position model. The record is from RNAcentral.